GACAGCCCUGACCCAAAGAAUGACGUUCCUUUCUCCCUCCAUUUGUCCCCUUUGCUCAUCCCUCCUUCCUCUUCUCCACUUUGCUCAUCCCUCCUUCCUCUUCUCCACUUUGCUCAUCCCUUCUUCCCCUCCUUCCUUCCACUCUGCUCAUCCCUCAUUCCUCCUUCCCUUUGUCCCCUUUGCUCAUUCCUCCUUCCUUUUGUCCCCUUUUCUCAUUCCUCCUUCCUCUUCUCCACUCUGCUCAUCCCUCCUUUCCUUUGUCCACUCUGCUCAUCCCUCAUUCCUCCUUCCUUUUGUCCCCUUUUCUCAUUCCUCCUUUCCUCUUCUCCCCUCUGCUCAUCCCUCCUGCCCUUUGCCCAGCUCAGUGUAUUAUCCACCACCUGCUGCUUUUCUGGGAUGGCUUUUCCGCACGAGUAGACAGAAAGAUCUGUCAGUGUUUCUGUGCUCUGAGGGAAGAUCAAGACCUGAACCUCGAGACUGAAGAGAAAUUAGUGCCAGGUACCUCUGGACUGCCUUUCCUGGAAUGUUUGGGAUGCAAGGGACCUUAAAUCCCAUCUCUUCCCAUGGGCAGGGAUACCUCUCAGUAGAGCAGGAUGCUCCAAACCCUGUCCAACCUGGCUUUGGUCACUUCCAGGGAUGGAUCCCGAAACCUGGCUGAUCCCACAGCACAAUCCAGCUCAUUUCUGAGAGCAUCAACAUGUCCAAAGGCUCCUGAGGCUGAGGAAAGGUGGAAUUUCACUUCAGAGCAGCCAAUACCUGUGUGCUGAGGAAGACACAAAACCCCAGAUGAAAAGGGGCAGGGCUAAAAGUCAUGGGAAGAAGAAAAGAAAAUUUACAAAUGCCAGAUCCAGCGCAUGGGAAUCCUGCCACGAGCAUGGGACAUCCCCACAGUGCCAAAACUGCUGCAGGAAACUGCAGCCACCAGCAAAAACACAGCAACCACGUGCCAAGAGAUUGUUUCAGAAGUGAAACCGCCAGAAGCCAAAUCGCAGUUUUAAGGCACAAUUUACACCAUAAAUAUUUGGGUUUCCAGCAAAAAGGGAGGGAGGAGAAAUCCUGGAAACACGACACUGGAGGCAGAGCAAUCUGCUGGUUUAAUUAACCCACAUGACAGAGGGCAUGAAUUUUUUUUUUCCUCUCACAUUAUUAAACACAAAAAUAUCCAAACUCCUGAGCUGUGGAACGGGAAUGAUUAAAAUCCCAUUACUCCAAGAUUGUUUCUUCCCCAUCCACAGAAAUUCCCAACAUCAACUUGUCCUGUGGAGGAGUCUUGAGCUCCUCAAGUUCAUGGGGAAAACUUCAAUGACCUUCAUAAUCUCAAAGCAUCUCCUAAUCAAAAGUGAUUUCAUUAAACCAGUGGCAAUCUGUCGGCAGCCUGAGAGCCCAGACAGGGAAACACCGGUUAAAACAAAGCUGGCAAAACACAUUAAAAAUUAAUUGACUUCUUGAUUUUUAUCAAAAUUGAAAAAAAGGCUCAAUCCUACACCAAAUGAUACAGCCCCUGAAUGGCAGCAAUUAAAGUUCCUCCUUCCAAUUACAGCUUUUUACAGCAUUUUAAUCAAUUUUUGUACAGCAAAUAAGCGUAGAGUUUAACCCUAAAUCGAAUCAGCAGGGUGAAAAUCAUAAUCCUGGAGCAUGACAUGCAAGAAUGAAACUUAAACAAACUAAACAAAAUGACAGGAAAGUUCCUGUAGAUCAUUUUGGACUUGUAUUUAAGGCCACUGGAGGGGAAUUCAUAAACAGAUCUGGGACUUGCCUAUCAACAUGACCUCACCUAUGCAAAUAUUUAUUCAAACAUUUGGGCACAUUGCAGGGGAUUUUAGAUUAGAGACCAAAGGAAAUUCCUAUAAAAGGAAAACCGAGCCAGCAGUUUCUCUUUAAAAACUGCAAACCCUCAAGGACCUCACCUUACAACUGGGCUGGAACAACCAGAGAAACUCCCAAGCUGUUGUUUGAUUUAUUCCUACCUUUUAUAAAAUCCCAAGCCAUUAAUCCUGAACGGCCUUGACUCAAAAGCCCGAUAGAUAAAUUUUCAUUGCUGAGAUCACUUAAGUAGUUCAGUAUCACAGGGAUGGGACUGGAAUUAGAAUUAGCAGAUUAAAAAACAAACCAAAAAUGCACUAAAAUUGUAAAAUUGCCAGUUUUCUCUUCUUUCAGCACAGCACAAACACCUUGUGCUGCGAGGAGCAGAGGGCUGGAUUUGAAUGCACAGCAGGUUUGUUUAACCACAGCUGGCACAGUGUCCUCUCCCCCAGGCCUCACCUCAGCAUUCCCAUUUCCAGAGCCCCACAGCAGCUCCUCAGGACUCUCCACCAUUAUCUACUGACAUUUCCCUUUUUUUAAUAUUUUUUUGUGUCUUUCUAAGUUCAUCAGUAACCAGAGACUUCUGCCAGCACUCAGUCCUGCUGAUUUCAAGAUCCUGAAACCCACCGUUCCCUCCUUCCCCAUUCCAGCUCCCCAGCCUUUCCCUACACUGGGAAUAAAAAAUAAGAAUAAAAAGGUGCA
This 2505-nucleotide long non-coding RNA is filed under the name Cyanistes caeruleus (blue tit). RNAcentral describes it as "lncRNA (ENSCCEG00000002117.1)". Lineage: Eukaryota; Metazoa; Chordata; Aves; Passeriformes; Paridae. The record is from RNAcentral.